Molecule: RNA transcript, 3576 nt
Organism: Teleopsis dalmanni
Lineage: Eukaryota; Metazoa; Arthropoda; Insecta; Diptera; Diopsidae
Gene name: zinc finger protein 33A-like
Exons: 7
Source: RefSeq, a predicted model, not a curated record
ACAGAAUAAUCAUUUUUAAAUGGAAUCGAUUGUUGUUAGUAGUGGUUGAUACAAUUCUAUAUCACUAACAAAAAAAAUGUUACCAUCGCACUGAUUGAAAUGGAAAUAUAAUUACUUGUUAGCGACAACCCUGGCGGUGGUUGAAAAUAAUUUGACAGUUUAGUAAUGGAAAUGCUUCUUCUUAUAUUGUUUUUCAACCUCAGAACUCGUUCAACUAUGUUCAAUCGUUCAACGGUGCUAUUUGCAAUUGUUUGUGUUUGUGUGCAAGGGGAAUGUGUUUGACAUUAAUGUACAUAUAUAUAUUUAUAUUUAUUUCUGCUGGUGUCAAUUAGAGUUUCUAAUAUCGAAUUUUUUGUUGACAAAAUAAGUGCUUUUAUGGAAAUCAAAAAGUGGUGAAUGAAAGACAGUCGCGCAGCAUGAAUGGAGGCGUGGCAAAUAUUUUCCAAACGGAUGAAGCUACUGGUAGCAAGAAACGUAAACGUGGUUUGGCGCCGAAAAAAACGCUCCAAGAAAAGGCUGAAUUAAAAUUAAGUGUCCAGUUAACCAAUCCGAAGAUAAUGGAACCACCUAUACUUCAGAAUGGCCACCAUAAUCAAGUAGAACAACACCUGUGCUCAAUUUGUGGUCAGAAAAGCGAAGAUGAAAUGGUUAACAUUAGUGACAAAACCAUUACGAAGGAAGAGUUCAAUGCUCCAAACAUUUCUUCAGAAUGUACCUUAAACAGUAUAUGCGUACAAUGCGUAGUAAAAGUUGAUGCGCAAAAAGACAGCAUUCGAACUGGUAAAAACCAUUUACAGGGCGCACCAAAUGGACAAAUGUGCAAUUACAAACGCAAGCCCAAAAAAACUCAAGAUCCAAUGCAUGUAGUUAAUAAGCCAAACGGACAAACACAAGAAGGUGUCUUAAAAGAGGCAAUGAUGUCUACUUGUACCAGUGAAACUAGUCGAAAUAAUUGCCUUGAAGUAGUUAAAGCAGUGCCUAAGAACAAUAACUUAUGCGGCUCUGAUUCAAAUCAAAAGAAGUGUUUAAUUUUAUCGAACCCACCUGAAAUAACUUCGAUAAUAACCAUUACAUCAAGUACCAGUACAGGUGAAGAAAGCAGGAUAAUGAACAAUAAAUCAUCAAGUGCGACUUCACAACUAUGUAGUAGUGUUCGCGGUUCACUGCAUUCAAUUCACUCUGUAGAUACUCAACAACAGUCUAUGCUGGAAGUAUAUUGUGUUCACUCCGAAUCCGCAUUAAUUACAGAGUCUGGAGGUAAGGUAAACAACUAUGAACAAAAAUCCGAUACACCGAAAACAUUAAUCUGCCAACAUUGUGGACGGGCCUACUCGCGCAAGUACUAUUACGGGAGGCAUAUGCGUCACUGCCAUACACGAUAUCGAAAUUUAUCAAUGCGUAAGAAAUCCAAAUCGGCGAUAUAUAUACGUUGCAGUGAUAUGGACGCAGAUAUGCCAGAUAAUGUGAAAUACGAACCAUUGUUUCAUUGUACCGAUUGUUCGUUUUCUUGCCAUAGCAUCGUCAUACUCCGCAAACACAAACGUAGUUGCCAUUUACAAAUAUUUGAGUGUGACAUAUGCAAUUCCGAAUAUACCACUGCGCAUGAAUACGAUUUUCAUCGUACAAUAUGUGAGGCCAAAAAUGAGGUUCUAAAGAAUUCUUAUUAUGUAACAGACGAUGAUGAUGAGUUGAGCACGUACACAACAAUUGGACGAAUGACGCGUGCGCGUUCCCGUGCGCUAACUCAAAUACCCACCCGCAUCACUGAUUUGGAUAGUGAAAACGAAGAUUUUAAUAAAGGCGACUUUAAUACGGAUGACACAGACGAUGAUGAGGUGUCUGUUGCAGAUACCAUGUACUCAAAUAGAAUGCGUUUUACUGGAGACUGGGUGGAAGAUCAUAGCAACAUGCUAGAGUACUCCGAUAUGUUAGAUUAUGAACAACAGAUUUCUAGUUACAAGGAAUACGACCUUUAUCUAUUGGAUCGUUUGAAAGAUUGCAUAGACUCCAACAUUUUUAUUUGUUUUGUUCCUGAUUGCAGUUUUCGCACCUAUACUUUGCCUAGUUUAAUGAUGCAUGAUUAUGUUGAUCACUUUCGUCACGCGUGGUUUCAUUGUAAAAAAUGUGGAUGUGUUUUCACCAGAAAAGUUUUUCUUGACUAUCAUUUGGACAGACAAAAUAGUGGGCGCUUUAUAUGUUUCCAAUGCGGUGACAUUUUUGAAUUUCAACACGAAUUAAAUCGUCAUCAAAUACUUCACACCAAAUCAGUAAAUUACCAUUGUAAUUAUUGCAACUUCGAUUUCCUCACAAAGCGCGAGCUUCUGCAACAUUGCGAGAUGGAGCAGCAUAAUCCUCACGGCAUACGUCAUCUCAUACAUUAUGACCCCGAUAUGACGAUUGUGAAUCCAGUACCGAAAGCUACAGUGUAUGAGCGUGGCACCUACGCUGAAAAAAUAUGCAUAAUGAAAUUGCCUGAAACAGUUUCGAAACGACCGAUUGAACUACACAAACCUUAUCGAAGAAAAAUCGGAGACGUUUUGUUUAAAAAUCAAAAAAAUCCAAACUGUUGGGGUUGGAAAUAGUAUCUAUCUUUCACCUUUUAUUUUUUCAUGUGUGAAACAAGUUUCAAGACGAAAUGUUGAUAAUUGUGUGUAUAUAACUAAUUUCAUUGAUUUAUAUUCAUUGACACGUGACCACCAACAAUAGCAAUAUUCCAAUACUAAUGGUGCUAAACUAUCCAAAAUGUAGAAACUCGAAUUAUCACCCUAUCCAACAAUCAUAUAUAAUAGAUAAUGUUACGUCAGUAUUUGUAUCGAUAAUGGUAAUUGUGCUUAAACUCUUUUUAAUUUUGACUGUGAUGUAAAACAGAUGUGUCAUUGAUCUGAUGUCAUUUAAGAGGGGGAAUGAUUCAUAUAAGAUUCAUUGAAAAGAUCAGCUUGUUGCUGUUACCCGAUUUGUGUUAGAUCGGAGGUGUAAUACAAGCACUCGUAAUAGCAAUAAGGCCAAUGGUGCGUGAACGUAUUCAAUAGAAAGCCAGUUUGGCUUGAUUAUUAGAACUAACAUGCCGUGCCGUUGGCUUAUCGGUAGGACACUUCUGCUUAAGAAAUAGAAAUAAAUAAUCAACUUGCGUUCUAAGGCAAUGAUAAGUGAAUAAAUUUACCGCCAACUGAUAUAAAGGAAUACGUGGUAUUAUAACGGACCAUUAUUUGUGCUUAAGUGAGCUUUGGUGAACAAGGCUGCCACUCUAAAUUGAUCUGACCUGAUUUUAUUAAUAUUUUUUUAAUGAUCAAGUUUUACAAAAUUUAUGGAGUUAUGGUUUUUAUUGUCUCUUGAAUUGUACCUUUUUUUAUUGAAUCCUAUUGUAGUUAAGCACUUCAUUUAUUUUUAAAAUUUGUAAUCUCAAAACCAAAUCAAACAAUUAUUAAAUUAGCAUCCGAAAGCAUCGGAUCGAUUGUCCUCACUACGAUUGCAAGUGGGAAGAAAGAGGCAGAGUCCCAGUGUGUUAAAACGUAAAUAUUGUGUCCAUAAUUUAAAAAUUAAGUUUCUAAAUUUGUAUAUUUGUAUUUAAUAUUAACA